Molecule: long non-coding RNA, 377 nt
Organism: Silurus meridionalis
Lineage: Eukaryota; Metazoa; Chordata; Actinopteri; Siluriformes; Siluridae
Exons: 2
Source: RefSeq, a predicted model, not a curated record
CUGAACAAGAGUUUUACAAGGAUUCAGCACUGGAAGAGUUAAAAGCCAGCGAGAAAACAGUGCAAGAAACGUGUGUGUGUGUGUGUGUGAGGAGAACGCAGCGUGGAUGAGACAGCAUUUAACCAGCAAGCAUACAGCUGUCAGUUCCUUGGAGCAGUAGGAGCCUGCAGUGUUAUGAGGAAGGUAACUGUACUGUGUGAGAUGGGAGAGUGCUGACGAUACAGCAUGUGCAGUCAUGUUUAUAUUACACAGUUAUUUGGUUUAUUAUCUAUUCUGUACACUGUUUCUACAGCAUCAGAGUGAUUGUGCCACUUCGUACCCGAAACAGAGACUGUCAAACAAACAAAUAAAAGACAGCUUAUUUCCUAUCACAUUAA